This 459-nucleotide ribosomal RNA is filed under the name uncultured bacterium. RNAcentral's name for it is "partial 16S ribosomal RNA". It matches the Rfam family "Bacterial small subunit ribosomal RNA", at positions 338 to 795 of the family's 1533-position model. The record is from RNAcentral.
CCUACGGGUGGCAGCAGUGAGGAAUAUUGGUCAAUGGGCGGAAGCCUGAACCAGCCAAGUAGCGUGCGGGAUGAAUGCCCUACGGGUCGUAAACCGCUUUUGCACGGGGAUAACACCUUCCACUUGUGGAGGUCUGCAGGUACCGUGCGAAUAAGCGCCGGCUAAUUCCGUGCCAGCAGCCGCGGUAAUACGGAAGGCCCGAGCGUUAUCCGGAUUCAGUGGGCGUAAAGGGAGCGUAGGCGGGUGUUCAAGUCAGCUGUAAAAUCGCGCGGCUCAACCGCGCGCCGCAGUUGAUACUGGACGACUUGAGUUCACAACAGGCAGGCGGAAUUCGUGGGGUAGCGGUGAAAUGCAUAGAUAUCACGAGGAACCCCGAUUGCGAAGGUAGCCUGCCGGGGUGCGACUGACGCUGAGGCUCGAGGGUGCGGGUAUCAAACAGGAUUAGAUACCCUAGUAGUC